This 602-nucleotide unclassified non-coding RNA is filed under the name Hevea brasiliensis (rubber tree). Lineage: Eukaryota; Viridiplantae; Streptophyta; Magnoliopsida; Malpighiales; Euphorbiaceae. The record is from RNAcentral.
AAAAAAUUCAAAAUUAUCAUCAACUACUCAAAGUCUUAUCAGGGCCACUUUUGAGUUUUUGGUUGUAAAUCAAUCAUUCAGCUUGACUAAAUCCUUAUUUGGGGAUCCAUUCUCUUUCGAGGUGCAAAAAUUCCCUGGAGGGAUCACUAUAAUUCCACCACAGAGUGCGUUUCUUCUGCAGAAAGUGCAAAUACGAUUCAACUUCACUUUGAACUUCUCUAUUUAUCAAAUACAAGUAAAUUUUGCUGAACUAACAAGUCAGCUGAAGUCAGGCCUACAUCUAGCGGCUUAUGAGAACUUGUACAUAAGUUUAUCAAACUCCAAAGGUUCAACGGUGGCUCCCCCUACUACUGUUCAGUCAUCUGUUGUAUUGGCUGUUGGGAAUACUCCCUCAAUGCAAAGGUUAAAGCAACUGGCUCAAACCAUAAGAGGUCAUUCAAGGAACCUUGGUCUGAAUAACACUGUUUUUGGUAAAGUUAAGCAAGUGCGUCUUUCAUCUAUCUUGCCACAUUCACUCCAUGGUGGCGAAGGCAGUCCCUCACCUUCUCCUACCCCUCUCCCUCAUCCCCACCACCAUCACCAUCACCACCAUCACCAUCACC